Molecule: long non-coding RNA, 3963 nt
Filed under: Citrus maxima (pomelo)
Lineage: Eukaryota; Viridiplantae; Streptophyta; Magnoliopsida; Sapindales; Rutaceae
Description: long non-coding RNA (CMAX_LNC003286)
Source: RNAcentral
UUAUUAGUCUCUAGAGUUAUCUAUAGAAAAAUUUGUAUUGUAAUUCUAUUAAUAUGGUAAAAGAUUAUAUCAUAUUAUGGUCUCGUAAUUUUUUCCGUUUUGAGUUUUUCACGUAAAAUAUGGGUCUCUUAUAGUUGGUUUAUUAAUUUGGAUUGUGUUGAUUUAUUUUUGCCUUAUUAAUAAAUGAUAUACAUCUCAUUUUAAUCAUUUAAUCACACAAAGAAGUAAAAAAUUUUGUUUCCGCUUAAUUUACAACCGUUUGUGUGAGUUCCUUUCCCAAUAGGAACAUAAGCCGAUCGACUUGUCUUUUCAAACUCAAAGAUUAUGACCCUCUGCAGCAGCUGGAACCAAUUUGCUGAAGUUAACUUCUUGAGCGAAAGAAUGUUUCCUGUAUGAAUGAAGAUCCUUGUGAGCCAGUAAUUUAAACAACAGCUCUCCCUCCUCCGUGGAGGAUAAUGUGUGAAAAUGCGUGAAUCCUUUUCAGGUCAAAAAUUAGAAGUGUAUCAUUAUGAUAAUCCUGAAAUAAGAAAAGGUGCACAAACACCUAUAGAAAAACGAAUUUCAAUAUUCUCCGAGGAUUCAAGCUUUGUUAUUCUCUUGCCCACUCAUUCUUGUCAUAAUCUUUUCAGCAGAAACAUCAUUGGAUGAAAAUUUGAUAAUAGCCAGGGAUCCUCUCAGAUUUGUUAGGAAAUUGGUGGGUGAAACAGGACCGCAGCUAAAAUAAAAUUAAAAGAAACAAAGAAUAAGCACAAAAGAAAAUACCAGAAAUUACGUGGUUCGGCUUUUAGCCUACGUCCACGGGUGAAGACAGAAAUAAAUAUUAUACUAGUGAAAAUGAGUUACAAGUAUUGUAGUAUUUUAGCUCACUACCCAAAAUCCCAAUACACCCAAACUCUCAAAUCACUAAGCACACAAAAUUCUUUGCUCUUGCAAGAAUCACUUCUCACAACUCUCAACUCUCUCUACAAAAUUAGAUGCAAAUGAAUUAGGGAGCUCUCCUUUUUAUAGCCAAAAAAUGGCUAUUAAAAUAAUAUAUUUUUUUUCAUUUUUCUUUCAUUUGGUAUACCAACCACCAUCUCCAUUUUUUUCUUUCUCUCUUUUCUUUAUUUCUUUGGGUGGCUGUCAAAGCCAAUUUGAUUUUGGCUAGGCCACCACCGGCCCAAAGAAAUAAACAAAAGAGAGAAAGAAAAUACCAGAAAUUACGUGGUUCGGCUUUUAGCCUACGUCCACGGGCGAAGACAGAAAUAAAUAUUAUACUAGUGAAAAGGAGUUACAAAUAUUGUAGUAUUUUAGCUCACUACCCAAAAUCCCAAUACACCCAAACUCUCAAAUCACUAAGCACACAAAAUUCUUUGCUCUUGCAAGAAUCACUUCUCACAACUCUCAACUCUCUCUACAAAAUUAGAUGCAAAUGAAUUAGGGAGCUCUCCUUUUUAUAGCCAAAAAAUGGCUAUUAAAAUAAUAUAUUUUUUUUCAUUUUUCUUUCAUUUGGUAUACCAACCACCAUCUCCAUUUUUUUCUUUCUCUCUUUUGUUUAUUUCUUUGGGUGGCUGUCAAAGCCAAUUUGAUUUUGGCUAGGCCACCACCGGCCCAAAGAAAUAAACAUGGUUUUGGCAGCCGCCCAAAGAAAUAAACAAAAGAGAGAAAGAAAAUACCAGAAAUUACGUGGUUCGGCUUUUAGCCUACGUCCACGGGCGAAGACAGAAAUAAAUAUUAUACUAGUGAAAAGGAGUUACAAGUAUUGUAGUAUUUUAGCUCACUACCCAAAAUCCCAAUACACCCAAACUCUCAAAUCACUAAGCACACAAAAUUCUUUGCUCUUGCAAGAAUCACUUCUCACAGCUCGCAACUCUCUCUACAAAAUUGAAUGCAAAUGAAUUAGGAGCUCUCCUUUUUAUAGCCAAAAAAUGGCUAUUAAAAUAAUAUAUUUUUUUUCAUUUUUCUUUCAUUUGGUAUACCAACCACCAUCUCCAUUUUUUUCUUUCUCUCUUUUGUUUAUUUCUUUGGGUGGUUGUCAAAGCCAAUUUGAUUUUGGCUAGGCCACCACCGGCCCAAAGAAAUAAACAUGGUUUUGGCAGCCGCCCAAAGAAAUAAACAAAAGAGAGAAAGAAAAUACCAGAAAUUACGUGGUUCGGCUUUUAGCCUACGUCCACGGGCGAAGACAGAAAUAAAUAUUAUACUAGUGAAAAAGAGUUACAAGUAUUGUAGUAUUUUAGCUCACUACCCAAAACCCCAAUACACCCAAACUCUCAAAUCACUAAGCACACAAAUUUCUUUGCUCUUGCAAGAAUCACUUCUCACAGCUCGCAACUCUCUCUACAAAAUUGAAUGCAAAUGAAUUAGGAGCUCUCCUUUUUAUAGCCAAAAAAUAGCUAUUAAAAUAAUAUAUUUUUUUUCAUUUUUCUUUCAUUUGGUAUACCAACCACCAUCUCCAUUUUUUUCUUUCUUUCUUUUGUUUAUUUCUUUGGGCGGCUGCCAAAACCAUGUUUAUUUCUUUGGGUGGCUGCCAAAGCCAAUUUUAUUUUGGCUAGGCCACCACCGGCUUUGACAAGAUUAACCAACUUAACCCUUUUCAUUGUUUUCAAGUCCAAUGUUCGGACGAGAAGUCACCUUGAAUUCCACUUUCUUGAAUUCCGAUGUUCGGUAGCAUCAAAAGGUUUUCAAUCCAUGGCAAAUAUCUUCAAUUAAUAAGAAACCGUAAGCAACCUGAGAGAGAGAAUAGACUUCUUCCCACAGCUAGACCGGAGCUUUAAGAUUAGAUUCGGAUACUCGUCACUCUCCUUGACACCGUUAUCAUCAUCGUAUAUAAGUGAACGCAAGGGAGUAUAAGCACCUAAUUUAGGACAGGGAGAAACCAGGAUUUGCGGUUGUUCUUCAGCUGAACAAGUAACAUGCUUGAUAGCAAAAGAAACGCUGUCAAUUGGGUCAACCCAGAACUUGGAGACAUUGCGGAACCGCUAGAGCGAAUAACGGGGAGUCUCAGAAAGAUUUCGUAGACGAUCUCUCAAGGAAUGCACGGACUUUGACAUUUUGUGACUUCUAUUAUUCUUUGAUCUGUAAAAAUUAUUCGAGUAUCACAUAUAUUUGUGGGCAAUUCCGAAGGUAUUUGUAUCAGACCUAGCAGACAUAUAUGUGAUCUCAUAAUUCUAUUAUGGGAUGCGAAAUUUAUAUUAUUUUAAUUAUUUUCAGCAAGUAUUUUAAUUUUUGUCAAUUAUCUAAGUCUUUUCUAUUAUUAUCUACGUACGAGUUUUUUUAGUCUAGUGAAUUUAUUCAAUUAUAGAUAGUGUUUGAUAGUCUUUCAAUAAUAAAAAAACCCUCUUUUAUAGUUUCUUUCGAAAUUAUCUAUCAAAAUUUCCUUAAUUAUAUCAUAGAGAUUUUGAUAUAUAAUUUAAAGAGAGUUUUUCUCACAUUCUUGGUAUUUCUUCUGAUCAUAAUAAUCAAUGUAUUAAGUAGAUGAAAUAUAUCCCCUCUGUCCAAGAGUCAAAUAAAAAUCGGAAGGGCAAAUUUAAUAGGAAGAAUGAAUGCUGGGUUCAUAAGAUGAUAGUGAAUACAGCGUCUUGGAAGAUUCCGUAUUGGAAAAAUAAAUAAUCACAAGCGGUUUGCAGGAGGUUGAAGUGCAUAUGAUCCUGCUGAGAUCGUCCAACAAAUCUUCCUGAGACUGCCUGUCAAAACACUUUUGAUUUUCCAUCGUGCCUCCAAGAUCUGGCACAUUGCUUCAGCAGCUCAACAACCAAAUUUUGUAUUCUUCCAGUACUCUUGCUGAUUAAAGGUGGCAAUCAUCUGCAUUCCCUUAUAUAUGACGGUAAUUCAUCAAAGAAAGUGCGUAUUUGAAUACAAUAUUAAGUGUGUUAUAUUAGUGAAAAAGAACGCCAUGUUCCCUGACAAAGUACAAGGGUGAAAAUUUAUUUAUUUGGCUAAUUUGGGAUCAAGAACAAUACACUGUAAUUCUUGUAGGUAAAAACC